CGAACGGGUGAGUAACGCGUGAGGAACCUGCCUCAAAGAGGGGGACAACAGUUGGAAACGACUGCUAAUACCGCAUAAGCCCACGGCUCGGCAUCGAGCAGAGGGAAAAGGAGCAAUCCGCUUUGAGAUGGCCUCGCGUCCGAUUAGCUAGUUGGUGAGGUAACGGCCCACCAAGGCGACGAUCGGUAGCCGGACUGGGAGGUUGAACGGCCACAUUGGGACUGAGACACGGCCUAG
This 237-nucleotide ribosomal RNA is filed under the name uncultured bacterium. RNAcentral describes it as "partial 16S ribosomal RNA". It matches the Rfam family "Bacterial small subunit ribosomal RNA", at positions 99 to 334 of the family's 1533-position model. The record is from RNAcentral.